UGGGGAAUUUUGCACAAUGGGGGAAACCCUGAUGCAGCGACGCCGCGUGAUUUAGAAGGCCUUCGGGUUGUAAAAAUCUUUUCUAUGGGAAGAAAAUGACAGUACCAUAGGAAUAAGGACUGGCUAAUUACGUGCCAGCAGCCGCGGUAAUACGUAAGGUCCGAGCGUUGUCCGGAAUCAUUGGGCGUAAAGGGUACGUAGGCGGGUAAGCAAGUUAGAAGUGAAAUCCUGUAGCUCAACUACAGUAAGCUUUUAAAACUGCUCAUCUUGAGGUAUGGAAGGGAAAGGGGAAUUCCUAGUGUAGCGGUGAAAUGCGCAGAUAUUAGGAGGAAUACCGGUGGCGAAGGCGACUUUCUGGACAUAUACUGACGCUGAGGUACGAAAGCGUGGGUAGCAAACAGG
This 402-nucleotide ribosomal RNA is filed under the name Verrucomicrobiota bacterium. Its description in RNAcentral is "Verrucomicrobia bacterium partial 16S ribosomal RNA". It matches the Rfam family "Bacterial small subunit ribosomal RNA", at positions 355 to 776 of the family's 1533-position model. Lineage: Bacteria; Pseudomonadati; Verrucomicrobiota. The record is from RNAcentral.